This 2008-nucleotide long non-coding RNA is filed under the name Mus musculus (house mouse). Its description in RNAcentral is "HEATER_TCONS_01572378". The record is from RNAcentral. Lineage: Eukaryota; Metazoa; Chordata; Mammalia; Rodentia; Muridae.
AAUAGCUACAUUGCUUAACUGCAGUGGCUGACAUGACUACCCUCCCACAGCUUCAGUUUCCUGGUCUGUAAAACAGGGGUGGGUGAGUAACAGCACUUUCCUCUGCGAUGGUGCAUGGCUCAGACUAAGUGAUACCUGAUAAGGCAAUUAGGAAGUGCCUGGCACCAAAGCAGCUGUCAAUAAGCAUUGGCUAUUACAGGACUGUUUCAGAAGGGAAGCUCGUUAGCUCAUCUGGUUCCUAAGGUCCAGAGCUGUGUGAAAACAACUAAAAUCUGCCCUGUACCGGCAAGCAUACCAACGGACCUUACACACUCACAAACGUCUAAGAGACAUUUCAAAUGCUUCUGUGAUUUUUUCCCCCACAUUGGGGUGUUGUACCACGACAGGAAUGUAUAGGUCAAAGGACAACUUGCAAAAAAAAAAAAAAAAAAAAAAAAAAAAGUUUGUUCUUUCCCCCAUGUAGGUCCCAGGAAGAUUAAACUCAGGUCGUUGGGCCCAUACCCACUGAGCCAUCUGGUCAGCCUUCAAACUUUAUGAACUAAUUUAGAUAAAUCAGACGUGCAUGCAGAAAGGCAGUGAAUCUUGUGACUAAAUAUUCAUAUCAGAGCUGUAGUUAGCUCCAGCUGUGUCUCUCACAUGCUAGGACACCUGGAACGAGUCACAGCUUUGUGUCUCUGUUCCACAUCUAUGAACAGAGAAGAAUAAAAUAUCUAACAGUAAAGUAGAGACGAAGUAAGACAAUGUAUGUGUGGGCACAGGUUUCCAUUCAGUCCUUGGCAAGUGAACAGUGCUUAAUAGUUGGUUGCUAUUAUUACUUCAUUCACUUGAAAAGCAAUAGUCAGAAGAAUAUUUAUUAUUAAACUCAAGUGUUUAACCACUAAAUUUGUGGUGUGUGUGUGUGUGUGUGUGUGUGUGUGUGUGUGUGGAGACAUGUGUGUAGCCUGUGCACACGAUGGAGAUCAAUGUUGUUCUUCUCUAACCCUCCCUACCAUAUUCCUUUGAGUCAGGGUCUCUCACUGAACCUAGUUAGCCAGCAGCCAGCAAGCCCCUUUAACCCAUGUGUCUCUGCCUCCCGUACUGCUGUGGUCACAAGCGCGUGGACAUGGAUAUUUACUUGGGUGCUUGGUGUACAAACUCGGGGCCUCAUGCUUAUACAGCACUCUUAAACACUGACCCACCUCUCCAGAGCCUCUUUUUAUCUUAAACAAUAGUGGAGAUGGAUCUUAGGGAGACAAGUGCUGUACCCUUCAGCUAUAUCCCCAGCCCCUAUUCAUUCGAAAGAAGGAGAGAGGGAGGGAGAGACUGAGGAAGGAAGGAAGAAAGGAAGGAAGGAAGGAACGAAGGAACGAAAGAAAAGAAAAGAAAAGAAAAGAAAAGAAAAGAAAAGAAAAGAAAAAAGAAAAGAAAAGAAACAUGUCCUAAGCAGGGCUGGAGAGAUGCCUCAAUGGUUAAGAAUGUGUUGUGCACUUUCCAGCCAGCACGGAGCCAUGGGCACCUCUCAGGACAACUGGCACAAGCACUGCAAGAUGGUGUGUGUGUGUGUGUGUGUGUGUGUGUGUGUGUGUAAGAGGAAACGCUACCACAGGAAGCGGAAGUAUGAACUGGGACAGCCUGGGGCCAGCACUAACAUCGACCCUCACACAUUCCAUGUUUGAGGAGGCAAUAAGAAGUACCAUGCCCUGAGAUUGGAUGUGGGUAACUUUUCCUGGCCCCUGAGUGUUGUACUCGAAAAACAAGGAUCAUUGAUGUUGUCUACAAAGCAUCUAAUAAUGAGCUUGUCUGCACCAAGACCCUGACAAAGAACAGCAUCGUGCUUAUUGACACCACACCAUACUGGCAGCGGUUCGAGUCCCACUAUGCACUGCCCCUGGGCCAACAAAGAAGGGGGCCAAUCUGACUCCUGAGGAGGAAGAGAUUUUAAACAAAAACCGAUCAAAGAAUACUCAAAAGAAAUAUGACGAAAGGAAAAAGAAUGCCAAAGUCAGCAGCCUCCUGGAGGAGCAGUCAC